Molecule: ribosomal RNA, 468 nt
Filed under: uncultured bacterium
Lineage: Bacteria
Description: SSU rRNA
Rfam family: Bacterial small subunit ribosomal RNA
Source: RNAcentral
AGAACGAACGCUGGCGGCAGGCCUCAAACAUGCAAGUCUAGGGGGCGUAGCAAUACGUCACCGGCGGACGGGUGAGUACCACGUGGGUUAUCUACCGUGAGGUGAGGAAUACCGGCGAGAAAUCGCCGACAAGACCGCAUAGCCUCGGUGCAAGCCGAGGAAAGCUUUCUCGAGAGAGGGAGCGCCACACGAGGAGCCUGCGCCCGAUUAGCUAGCUGGUGGAGUAACGGUUCACCAGGGCGACGAUCGGUAGCUGGUCUGAGAGGACGAUCAGCCACACUGGGAUUGAGAACGGCCCAGACUCCUACGGGGGGCAGCAGUGAGGAAUUUUCGUCAAUGGGGGCAACCCUGAACGAGCAACGCCGCGUGCAGGAAGAAGGUUUUCGGAUCGUAAACUGCUUUUCGUCGGGGAAGAGAACGGACGGUACCCGAGGAAUCAGCCCCGGCUAACUACGCGCCAGCAGCCGC